UACGUCAAUCCUAGAAACCAACAAAAUAGGAUCGAACGUCCUAUUUCAUUAUUCCAUGCUAAUGUAUUCAAGCGUUAGCUUGCUUUAAACACUCUAAUUUUUUCAAAGUAACAGUCCAAAUUCCCCGCAACACCAAAUUAAUGGCAUUACGGCUCAUCAGGAAGGAGGAAUCAGUGAGACCAGUACAUACCGGAGGCAUGACCAACC
This 207-nucleotide unclassified non-coding RNA is filed under the name uncultured Glomeraceae. Its description in RNAcentral is "sequence contains 18S rRNA gene". Lineage: Eukaryota; Fungi; Glomeromycota; Glomeromycetes; Glomerales; Glomeraceae. The record is from RNAcentral.